CUAGGAAAAAUUGUUUUGGUCUCUGCCCCCUACCUAAGAGUUGGUGAACGCAAGGGAGCCCGGCAAAGCAAGCAGACUGCGGCUGACCUCCAGCCCCUUAAACGUCUUGCUGGCGAGCUCCUCCAGCGCGCACAGCGGCGAGGUCUGCGAGAGCAGCGCGCGGCCCGCCAGGGGCAAGCCGCCCUGCGCGUGCUUGUCCGCGGCGGCCAGCAGGUGCGCCGCCCCGCACAGCGAGUAACUUCUCCGCACAGACGGCUUGUUGAGGAUGUCCUCGAUGCUGAACGGCGUCAGUGGCUUGUUGGAGUUGGCAGGCGGAGGCAGGUGGUCCAGCGGGCUGCGCCGCCGCUCCUCCCCCGGCGCCGCCUUGCCGUCCUCCUUGGAAGUCAUCUCGGCCUUGUUCGGGGUCCCGGCCGGGGCGGCU
Molecule: long non-coding RNA, 421 nt
Filed under: Homo sapiens (human)
Lineage: Eukaryota; Metazoa; Chordata; Mammalia; Primates; Hominidae
Description: HSALNT0167226
Source: RNAcentral